CCUACGAGUGGCAGCAGUGAGGAAUAUUGGUCAAUGGGAGAGAUCCUGAACCAGCCAAGCCGCGUGAGGGAAGACGGCCCUAUGGGUUGUAAACCUCUUUUGUCGGAGAACAAAACCCGGGACGUGUCCCGGACUGCGUGUAUCCGAAGAAAAAGCAUCGGCUAACUCCGGGCCAGCAGCCGCGGUAAGACGGAGGAUGCGAGCGUUAUCCGGAUUUAGUGGGUUUAAAGGGUGCGUAGGCGGUCCGUUAAGUCAGCGGUAAAAUUGCGGGGCUCAACCCCGUCGAGCCGUUGAAACUGGCAGACUUGAGUUGGCGAGAAGUACGCGGAAUGCGCGGUGUAGCGGGGAAAUGCAUAGAUAUCGCGCAGAACUCCGAUUGCGAAGGCAGCGUACCGGCGCCAGACUGACGCUGAGGCACGAAAGCGUGGGGAUCGAACAGGAUUAGAUACCCCAGUAGUC
RNAcentral lists this ribosomal RNA (459 nucleotides) under uncultured bacterium. RNAcentral's name for it is "partial 16S ribosomal RNA". It matches the Rfam family "Bacterial small subunit ribosomal RNA", at positions 338 to 795 of the family's 1533-position model. The record is from RNAcentral.